UACUUAUAUCUACCAAUCUGCUCUCCAACAGAAGUUGCUUAUUUGGGGAAAUGAAGUCUGUCUCCUCUCUGGACUGAUGCCCAGUCUGAAGGAAAAGUGCCAUUAAGGACAAGAGUCCUCCUGUCUGACGCCCAGAGCUUUGUGUCAUAUGACAGAAGACACAUGGCAUCAUUGCGUAAACUUCACCAUGGCAUCGCCCAGGAGUCUCCUUCUAGGAUAACAGAUGGAGAAUGUAAAGUCAUCUGCACCUGCUGGAAGCAUUAAUCUCCUGGAAGCUUUCAUGGGCUUGUACUGCUUAGUAAGAGCUGAGAUGCCUUCAUUCUGAUUUGGGUCAAGAUAACCACCUUCUUUAAGAGACAAGACAAAUUUCUCAGGAAACUUUAUGAAUCCCUGGAUAGCAAUGGGAAAUAACACUGAUUCCAGUUCACAAUUCUAAAUGUAUGUGAUAUCAAAUGAUGCCAAAAUUAUCAGGUACUGAUUCUGCUGCAUGGGUAUUUGUAGUUCAUUUUGCACUAUUCAUUUGCACAGUUCAUUUUGCUGUCCAGACCAAGCUAUCAUAUCUGCAAAUGUUUUUCAAAUGUGCAACUGUCAAAAGCAAUUUGGAGGGUAUCACCUGCAUA
Molecule: non-coding RNA, 620 nt
Organism: Struthio camelus australis
Lineage: Eukaryota; Metazoa; Chordata; Aves; Struthioniformes; Struthionidae
Source: RefSeq, a predicted model, not a curated record